Molecule: ribosomal RNA, 325 nt
Filed under: uncultured eukaryote
Lineage: Eukaryota
Description: partial 18S ribosomal RNA
Rfam family: Eukaryotic small subunit ribosomal RNA
Source: RNAcentral
CCCUUAGAUGUUCUGGGCCGCACGCGCGCUACACUGAUGCAUUCAACGAGCCUAUCCUUGACCGACAGGUCCGGGUAAUCUUUGAAUCUGCAUCGUGACGGGGAUAGAUUAUUGCAAUUAUUAAUCUUCAACGAGGAAUGCCUAGUAGGCGCAAGUCAUCAGCUUGCGUCGAUUACGUCCCUGCCCUUUGUACACACCGCCCGUCGCUCCUACCGAUUGGGUGUGCUGGUGAAAUGUUCGGAUCGGCCGUUUGUCGCGGUUUCCGCGUCAUGUGGCUGAGAAGUUCAUUAAACCCUCCCACCGAGAGGAAGGAGAAGGCGGAACA